CAGAGGUCCCAAGCGUUGUUCGGAUUUAUUGGGCGUAAAGGGUGCGUAGGCGGCGGAGUAAGUUGGGUGUGAAAUCCCGGGGCUCAACCUCGGAAUUGCAUUCAAUACUGCUUCGCUCGAGUACUGGAGAGGAGACUGGAAUUUACGGUGUAGCAGUGAAAUGCGUAGAUAUCGUAAGGAAGGCCGGUGGCGAAAGCGAGUCUCUGGACAGUUACUGACGCUGAUGCACGAAGGCCAGGGGAGCAAACGGGAUUAGAUACCCCGGUAGUCCUGGCAGUAAACGGUGCGCGUUUGGUGUGGGGGGAUUCGGACAAUCUCCGCGCCGGAGCUAACGCGUUAAACGCGCCGCCUGGGAAAUACGGUCGCAAGAUUA
This 373-nucleotide ribosomal RNA is filed under the name uncultured organism. Its description in RNAcentral is "bacterial SSU rRNA". It matches the Rfam family "Bacterial small subunit ribosomal RNA", at positions 526 to 896 of the family's 1533-position model. The record is from RNAcentral.